RNAcentral lists this ribosomal RNA (460 nucleotides) under uncultured bacterium. Its description in RNAcentral is "partial 16S ribosomal RNA". It matches the Rfam family "Bacterial small subunit ribosomal RNA", at positions 338 to 795 of the family's 1533-position model. The record is from RNAcentral.
CCUACGGGUGGCAGCAGUGAGGAAUAUUGGUCAAUGGACGAGAGUCUGAACCAGCCAAGUAGCGUGAAGGAUGACUGCCCUAUGGGUUGUAAACUUCUUUUAUAAAGGAAUAAAACGAGGCACGUGUGCCUUUUUGCAUGUACUUUAUGAAUAAGGAUCGGCUAACUCCGUGCCAGCAGCCGCGGUAAUACGGAGGAUCCGAGCGUUAUCCGGAUUUAUUGGGUUUAAAGGGAGCGUAGAUGGGUUGUUAAGUCAGUUGUGAAAGUUUGCGGCUCAACCGUAAAAUUGCAAUUGAUACUGGCAGUCUUGAGUACAGUUGAGGUAGGCGGAAUUCGUGGUGUAGCGGUGAAAUGCUUAGAUAUCACGAAGAACCCCGAUUGCGAAGACAGCUCACUAAACUGUGACUGACAUUGAUGCUCGAAAGUGUGGGUAUCAAACAGGAUUAGAUACCCCAGUAGUC